Molecule: small RNA, 528 nt
Filed under: Fusarium tricinctum
Lineage: Eukaryota; Fungi; Ascomycota; Sordariomycetes; Hypocreales; Nectriaceae
Description: eukaryotic LSU rRNA
Rfam family: 5.8S ribosomal RNA (bases 147-300)
Source: RNAcentral
GAGUUUCACUCCCAACCCCUGUGUACAUACCUUAAUGUUGCCUCGGCGGAUCAGCCCGCGCCCCGUAAAACGGGACGGCCCGCCAGAGGACCCAAACUCUAAUGUUUCUUAUUGUAACUUCUGAGUAAAACAAACAAAUAAAUCAAAACUUUCAACAACGGAUCUCUUGGUUCUGGCAUCGAUGAAGAACGCAGCAAAAUGCGAUAAGUAAUGUGAAUUGCAGAAUUCAGUGAAUCAUCGAAUCUUUGAACGCACAUUGCGCCCGCUGGUAUUCCGGCGGGCAUGCCUGUUCGAGCGUCAUUUCAACCCUCAAGCCCCCGGGUUUGGUGUUGGGGAUCGGCUCUGCCCUUCUGGGCGGUGCCGCCCCCGAAAUACAUUGGCGGUCUCGCUGCAGCCUCCAUUGCGUAGUAGCUAACACCUCGCAACUGGAACGCGGCGCGGCCAUGCCGUAAAACCCCAACUUCUGAAUGUUGACCUCGGAUCAGGUAGGAAUACCCGCUGAACUUAAGCAUAUCAAUAAGCGGAGGA